AUUGAACGCUGGCGGCAUGCCUUACACAUGCAAGUCGAACGGCAGCGGACCUUCGGGUGCCGGCGAGUGGCGAACGGGUGAGUAAUAUAUCGGAACGUACCUUUCAGUGGGGGAUAACGUAGCGAAAGUUACGCUAAUACCGCAUAUUCUGUGAGCAGGAAAGCAGGGGAUCGCAAGACCUUGCGCUGAUUGAGCGGCCGAUAUCAGAUUAGCUAGUUGGUGAGGUAAAGGCUCACCAAGGCGACGAUCUGUAGCGGGUCUGAGAGGAUGAUCCGCCACACUGGAACUGAGACACGGUCCAGACUCCUACGGGAGGCAGCAGUGGGGAAUUUUGGACAAUGGGCGCAAGCCUGAUCCAGCCAUGCCGCGUGAGUGAAGAAGGCCUCGGUUGUAAGACGUCUUUCGGUCCGGGUACGGAAAGUACGCACAGGUUAAUAACCCUCGUGUGGAUGACGGUACCGGAACGUAAGAAGACACCGGC
This 481-nucleotide ribosomal RNA is filed under the name uncultured bacterium. RNAcentral describes it as "bacterial SSU rRNA". It matches the Rfam family "Bacterial small subunit ribosomal RNA", at positions 30 to 497 of the family's 1533-position model. The record is from RNAcentral.